Molecule: long non-coding RNA, 1486 nt
Organism: Scomber japonicus (chub mackerel)
Lineage: Eukaryota; Metazoa; Chordata; Actinopteri; Scombriformes; Scombridae
Exons: 2
Source: RefSeq, a predicted model, not a curated record
CCUUCCUUUCCUUUCCUUUCCUCCUCCUCCUCUUCCUCAAUCUCUCAUCGAAGAACGCUUCACGGCUUUAUAGGAGGACCCGAUCGAGCAAAGUCACGACAGUCUGAGCUGAGUACGCGUGGGUGUUUAUCUAUCGGUACAUAUACCGUAAAUGCAUACAUAUAUAUUUGACUUACACAUAACGGUGAGUUUUAUCUAUUUAUUGACCUUUUAAAUAAUUCAUUAAAAAGCUGAAACGAAGCGUCUUUAAAUGGGACGGCAGCAGAAAAACAGCGGAAGGAUGUCCAAUGAAAGCAAAGCAUGGCUGCGGAGGUCUUUUUUUGAAUGGAGGGGGGUUACACUGUUUGACACUUCAAGGCUGCUGACCUAAUAUUUGUCCUGACAUUAUAUUUUGUAUAUGCUACGAUGCUACGAUGUGUCUAACUUAACUUAACUCCCCCCUCCCUCCUCUCCCCCCCUUCCUGAGAUUUACGUCUUCAAAGAUUUGAAGUGUUGUGCAGAAAUAUGGUGAUAAUAUUUUUUGAUGUUUAAAGGGAAACCCCAACACAUUUUUUUUGUGUAAAAACAAAAAACAAAAAAAAAAAAGUUGUAUAAUGUGGCCUUAGGUUCAAAAUGAGACGACGAAGAGCUGAAGCUGGAUAUCUUGGAUAGAUGUUGAGUGUCUACAGCUUGCCCAAUCCAAAUAUUACACAGUAUAAAAAGGUUAAAAUGUACAUUUAUUACAUAAAUGAAGGCUUGUGUAGUUUUUUGAAGAAAAAAAACCAUACAUAGAUAUAUAAUUUUCUUUCAGUUUCUUUAUUGUACAGUUUUUAUUUUAUUUUAAACAUUUAAUUCCGACAAAAAAAGCAUUUAAUAUUUCAUUCUCAUUGAACUGUAAAUAUAUUUAAAUCCUUCAAUGAUUCAUUUCUGCCAUAGAGCUAUAUGUAUGAAUGUUAUUAAUGAUUUUGUUUAAUGCGUUUCUUUAUGUUUGAAAUACAGAAAGCAAGAAUAAGCUUUAGUUUCGCCAACCUGCUGACCGACCGUAAAUUUGCGACUUUGCCCCGUGGCAGCGGCAGAAGGUUUCAUGAGUUUCAUUUUUCAGUCCUCCAGGCAGUUUGCUGUUCAUUGACAUCCUGUUCAGAGUUCACAUGGGACAGGCGGUAAUAAAAACACAUAGUAGUGAUCAAACCACAGAGACGGGGAGGCUCAGGGCUUGAGAGGAAAAGACAGAUUCAUGUAUGAUUGGGUGUUCGAUUAGAUGAAAUGGGUGAAAUGAAAAGAGAGAAAUAGAGAAGAUCUACCUUCUCUCUUUCUCUCUCUCUCUGUGUCUGAUCUGUUUUCUCUCUGCUCUCUCUCUCUCUGUCCCUGGCGGCCUCCUGCCUGUAAAUACCUUCAGCAUCAGUGACACUGCUCUUCUCUCUGUGUCCAGGCUAUAUGACGUGUACGUAUGACAUUAUCAAACUACUAUGGAUGUUAAAUAACAAAGUGCUCAUGUGAUCACAAACUC